GAGUUUGAUCCUGGCUCAGGACGAACGCUGGCGGUAUGCCUAAUACAUGCAAGUCGAACGCUGAAGCACUCUGCUUGCAGAGUGUGGAUGAGUGGCGAACGGGUGAGUAACACGUGGGGAACCUGCCCAUAAGAGGGGGAUAACAUCCGGAAACGGAUGCUAAUACCGCAUAGGUGAUCAUAGCGCAUGCUUAGAUCAUUAAAGAUGGCUUCGGCUAUCGCUUAUGGAUGGCCCCGCGGCGUAUUAGCUAGUUGGUGAGGUAAUGGCUCACCAAGGCUGUGAUACGUAGCCGACCUGAGAGGGUGAUCGGCCACACUGGAACUGAGACACGGUCCAGACUCCUACGGGAGGCAGCAGUAGGGAAUCUUCCACAAUGGGCGAAAGCCUGAUGGAGCAACACCGCGUGAGUGAAGAAGGUCUUCGGAUCGUAAAGCUCUGUUGUUAGAGAAGAACAAGAGGUGUAGUAACUGGCAUCUCCUUGACGGUAUCUAACCAGAAAGUCACGGCUAGCUACGUGCCAGCAGCCGCGGUAAUACGUAGGUGACAAGCGUUGUCCGGAUUUAUUGGGCGUAAAGCGAGCGCAGGCGGUCUUUUAAGUCUGAUGUGAAAGCCCACGGCUCAACCGUGGAGGGUCAUUGGAAACUGGAAGACUUGAAUGCAGAAGAGGAAAGUGGAAUUCCAUGUGUAGCGGUGAAAUGCGUAGAUAUAUGGAGGAACACCAGUGGCGAAAGCGACUUUCUGGUCUGUAAUUGACGCU
RNAcentral lists this ribosomal RNA (757 nucleotides) under uncultured bacterium. Its description in RNAcentral is "bacterial SSU rRNA". It matches the Rfam family "Bacterial small subunit ribosomal RNA", at positions 9 to 747 of the family's 1533-position model. The record is from RNAcentral.